This is a long non-coding RNA of Pygocentrus nattereri (red-bellied piranha), 1079 nucleotides long. RefSeq lists it as uncharacterized. Lineage: Eukaryota; Metazoa; Chordata; Actinopteri; Characiformes; Serrasalmidae. The record is from RefSeq and is a predicted model, not a curated record. The transcript is spliced from 4 exons.
AACGGGAAAAUUCGAGCCAGUACUGACUGCUGCACUGUUUAAGGUGGAAUGGGAAAAUUCGAGCCAGUACUGACUGCUGGAGCAUUUAAGAUGGAAUGGGAAAAUUCGAGCCAGUACUGACUGCUGCACUAUUUAAGGUGGAAUGGGAAAAUUCGAGCCAGUACUGACUGCUGGAGCAUUUAAGAUGGAAUGGGAAAAUUCGAGCCAGUACUGACUGCUGCACUAUUUAAGGGUUCACCUCCUCUUUAUUCAACACCAUGGGGUCCUUUACCCACCCUGGCGUGAAGAGCCGGUGGGCUUCUGUGCUUUUAAAUGCUGUGAGAGACUCUCCAGAACAGGGAGAGGGGCUGAGUAUGAGGUCAUGGAGCACUUCUCCUUCUCGUGACUGUAAUCAGGGUCAGAAAUGGCUCUCCUGAAGAGGCCAUGAAUGAAGAGGUUCCAAGGACGAGGCCUCAACCAAUGGUAUGCCACCCCCACCAACUGAGGUUGACGGAGCUCUGACAGCUGUUGGACAGCUGUAGGUGUGGAGGGAGCGUUCAAUAUCAUGUGGACUGGAAAGGGUACAGACCUGUGUUGAGUACCUGCUGGAGAUGUCCUUCACCCUGCACUUACAGCUGACUUUCACAGGCAGUUCCCUGAGCUGCCUGCUCCCUAUCCUUGGGGUCAUCCCAGGGGUUGUCCCUUGGAUUCCAGGCCCAGGUUGAGUCGGUGGUCGUUCCAGUUGUUCUUCUGUUUAGGCCUCCAGUUGUGUGAGUGAUGGUCGCUGUGAGCGUCCUCGUUCCUCAGCUGACCUGGACUCGUGAGAGUCAUCGGCCAAUCAUGAACCGUUACAGGGAUCUGGCUCACAAGCUUGUUUUAAAGGACUCUAUUAAUGCCCCAGUGAUCUUGUUCCUGUGCGUACUAAGCAUUCUUUUAUGGUUGGUCUUUUCAAUGUUUUUAACCAUUGCCUGUGUUUUUGCACUUACAUUUUGCACGUUUUUUUGCUUGUUUGCUAUUGGACUGUUCUGGUUUUUGCUCUUUGCCUCAUGUUUUUCUAUUGCUGUUUUUUGGUAUUGAUCUUGGCCUACAUUAAUUGUGUA